ACGGGAGGCAGCAGUGAGGAAUAUUGGUCAAUGGGCGAGAGCCUGAACCAGCCAAGUAGCGUGCAGGAUGACGGCCCUAUGGGUUGUAAACUGCUUUUAUGGGGGAAUAAAUGAGAUCACGUGUGGUUUUUUGCAUGUACCCCAUGAAUAAGGACCGGCUAAUUCCGUGCCAGCAGCCGCGGUAAUACGGAAGGUCCGGGCGUUAUCCGGAUUUAUUGGGUUUAAAGGGAGCGUAGGCGGCCUUUUAAGCGUGUUGUGAAAUGUCCCGGCUCAACCGUGGCACUGCAGCGCGAACUGGAGGGCUUGAGUGUGCAGGAAGUAGGCGGAAUUCGUCGUGUAGCGGUGAAAUGCUUAGAUAUGACGAAGAACUCCGAUUGCGAAGGCAGCUUACUGUAGCAUAACUGACGCUGAUGCUCGAAGGUGCGGGUAUCGAACAGGAUUAGAUACCCUGGUA
RNAcentral lists this ribosomal RNA (454 nucleotides) under uncultured Prevotella sp. RNAcentral's name for it is "bacterial SSU rRNA". It matches the Rfam family "Bacterial small subunit ribosomal RNA", at positions 341 to 792 of the family's 1533-position model. Lineage: Bacteria; Pseudomonadati; Bacteroidota; Bacteroidia; Bacteroidales; Prevotellaceae. The record is from RNAcentral.